RNAcentral lists this ribosomal RNA (254 nucleotides) under uncultured bacterium. Its description in RNAcentral is "partial 16S ribosomal RNA". It matches the Rfam family "Bacterial small subunit ribosomal RNA", at positions 524 to 776 of the family's 1533-position model. The record is from RNAcentral.
UACGUAGGGUGCAAGCGUUGUCCGGAAUUAUUGGGCGUAAAGAGCUCGUAGGCGGCUUGUUACGUCGACUGUGAAAACCCGCGGCUCAACCGUGUGGUCUGCAGUCGAUACGGGCAGGCUAGAGUUCGGUAGGGGAGACUGGAAUUCCUGGUGUAGUGGUGAAAUGCGUAGAUAUCGGGAGGAACACCAGUGGCGAAGGCGACUACCUGGCCUGUUCUUGACGCUGAGGCGCGAAAGCUAGGGGAGCAAACGGG